RNAcentral lists this ribosomal RNA (497 nucleotides) under uncultured bacterium. Its description in RNAcentral is "partial 16S ribosomal RNA". It matches the Rfam family "Bacterial small subunit ribosomal RNA", at positions 28 to 507 of the family's 1533-position model. The record is from RNAcentral.
GAUGAACGCUGGCGGCGUGCCUAAUACAUGCAAGUCGAGCGAACGGACGAGAAGCUUGCUCCUCUGAUGUUAGCGGCGGACGGGUGAGUAACACGUGGAUAACCUACCUAUAAGACUGGGAUAACUUCGGGAAACCGUAGCUAAUACCGGAUAACAUUUUGAACCGCAUGGUUCAAAAGUGAAAGACGGUCUUGCUGUCACUUAUAGAUGGAUCCGCGCUGCAUUAGCUAGUUGGUAAGGUAACGGCUUACCAAGGCAACGAUGCAUAGCCGACCUGAGAGGGUGAUCGGCCACACUGGAACUGAGACACGGUCCAGACUCCUACGGGAGGCAGCAGUAGGGAAUCUUCCGCAAUGGGCGAAAGCCUGACGGAGCAACGCCGCGUGAGUGAUGAAGGUCUUCGGAUCGUAAAACUCUGUUAUUAGGGAAGAACAUAUGUGUAAGUAACUGUGCACAUCUUGACGGUUCCUAAUCAGAAAGCCACGGCUAACUACGUG